Pan troglodytes (chimpanzee) is the source of this 1777-nucleotide long non-coding RNA. RefSeq lists it as uncharacterized. Lineage: Eukaryota; Metazoa; Chordata; Mammalia; Primates; Hominidae. The record is from RefSeq and is a predicted model, not a curated record. The transcript is spliced from 2 exons.
AGGAACCAUGAGAGCUUUGGUCGCAAAGCAAGGGCAUAUUCAGCCAGGACAACAGCUGGGCCGCCUGCAUGGAACGCUCAACAAUGCGGUGGUUUCUGCUCCCAUGGUAACCGCUGCCACUGCACUUGCAACAUCCCACCUCCCUGUGUGUAAUCUCUAAGUAUCCCCCAUGUCUUCAGAGCUAUAUCCCUCUCAGAUUCAAGUCCAGAGCAAGAGCAUCUGAUAUAGUUUGGAUGUGUGUCCCUGUCCAAAUCUUAUGGUGAAUUGACAUCCCCAAUGUUGGAGCAUCCGGAGAAAUUAUUCUUGAGCUGACAGGUGCAUUAGUCCAAAAAACACUUACCUCAGUGGACCAUAACUAUGCCAGGCUGCAGGACCACCAGCGUCCAUGACAAGUGUGUCCGCAUUACUGCAAGUCUUUUGGUAGUGGUCAGAAAACAACAAUGGAGCAAUACCAUGUGGCAACAAGAGCAACAAUGGCCAAGAUAAUGGAGCUGUUCCACUGACUGCACAGGUUUUCUGGUCCUUUCUCCAUGGCAGGACAGUGACAAAGACUGACUCCUAAAGUUAAGUAAAUACCCUUGGGAUGAUAGAUAGAUAGGUAGAUAGAUGAUAGAUAGAUACAUAGAUGAUAGAUAGAUAGAUAGAUAGAUAGAUAGAUAGAUGAUAGAUAGAUAGAUAGAAGAAAUGAAAGAGAGAUAUUCUUAUGUAUUAGAGCCACAAAUUAAUUUAACUUCAAUUUUAAAAGUAUUGUUAAUUCAUUUGUACCUCCAAACUGAUGAAACAAAACAUACUGACUACAACUAUUAAACGAAGAAAGAUUACAGAAUAGUAUGCUUAGUAUAAACAUACUAUUAUAAAAUAUGUCUCAAUAUGUUCAUAGAAAAAAAUUGGAAAGCCAAAAUGUUGCUAACAGUUAUGUCAGGAUGGUGUAAUCACAGGUGAUUUUUAUUGUACUUUCCUUAUCUGUAUUGCCCGAAUUUUCUGUGAUGACUUUGUGAUUCGGUAACAAGGAAAAAAAAUUAUCGUUUUAAAUUUACCAAAGCAAUGAAUCUGUUUUCCCUUGAUGUCUUUGCUUUUUUAAGAAGCAGUGUGCAUUCUUUUCCUAAGAAAUACAAACAUUUCUCCUUUCUUUCAUUUUAGAUAAUUAGAAGACAGCUGCCAGGUUGGAGACCAUUUCAGAUGUCAAUCUGCAAAGUGGUAUGGAAAGGCAGGAAAUAAGCCAUGGAACAUUUUAAUUGCCUUCAUAACCUGGGUUACAGGAAACAGGCAUCUCCUUCAUGAUUUCUGCUUCUGAGAGGAGGGUGCUGUGGCCAAGGGCUUGGAUGCUCACAGAAUCUCCCAUCCCCUUCCAUGAGCAUUAUUGAAGAGAAGAUACCACGGAAGAAUUGUGGGAAUAAACACGGUGUCAUUCAUAUGCUCUGUGAGCUCAUCUAAGGGUCCAAGGUGCCAUCCCUUCUGCAGGAUCACUAGCAGCUGUCCAUGUGGUGCCAGCUCAACCAUCUCUAAUGGGGAAAUCAACAACUACUGAGCAGUCCUACUGGGAUAUACAAGUACCAAGUAUCAGACACAUGAAUCCAAAACUAGAUUUGCCACCCUCCCUCCCAAGAACAAUGCAUUUUCAUGUGUCCUACCAUUACUCCUACCCUGACACUUACCCACUAGACUAGAGCAUGUGAGUGACCCUGUCUCAUUUUGCUGUAUUACCAGCACCUAGAAUAGUGCAAAUAAUACAGUAGUUGCUCAAUACACACCCGUGGAACUACUAUUGAAUGAAUAA